This 450-nucleotide ribosomal RNA is filed under the name uncultured bacterium. RNAcentral's name for it is "bacterial SSU rRNA". It matches the Rfam family "Bacterial small subunit ribosomal RNA", at positions 355 to 796 of the family's 1533-position model. The record is from RNAcentral.
UGAGGAAUUUUGGACAAUGGGCGAAAGCCUGAUCCAGCAACGCCGCGUGGACGAUGAAGGUCUUCGGAUCGUAAAGUCCUGUCGAGCGGGAAGAAAGACAUGAGAGCGAACAGUUCUUGUGUCUGACUGUACCGCGAGAGGAAGCCCCGGCUAACUCCGUGCCAGCAGCCGCGGUAAUACGGAGGGGGCUAGCGUUGUUCGGAAUUAUUGGGCGUAAAGGGCGCGUAGGCGGCGAGAUAAGUUAGACGUGAAAUCCCUCGGCUUAACCGAGGAACUGCGUCUAAUACUGUCUUGCUUGAGGCCGGGAGAGGAGAGUGGAAUUCCCAGUGUAGCGGUGAAAUGCGUAGAUAUUGGGAGGAACACCGGUGGCGGAGGCGGCUCUCUGGACCGGUUCUGACGCUGAGGCGCGAAAGCUAGGGUAGCAAACAGGAUUAGAUACCCCGGUAGUCC